This 516-nucleotide ribosomal RNA is filed under the name uncultured Hanseniaspora. Its description in RNAcentral is "eukaryotic LSU rRNA". It matches the Rfam family "Eukaryotic large subunit ribosomal RNA", at positions 62 to 583 of the family's 3401-position model. Lineage: Eukaryota; Fungi; Ascomycota; Saccharomycetes; Saccharomycodales; Saccharomycodaceae. The record is from RNAcentral.
AAACCAACUGGGAUUACCUUAGUAACGGCGAGUGAAGCGGUAAAAGCUCAAAUUUGAAAUCUGGUACUUUCAGUGCCCGAGUUGUAAUUUGUAGAAUUUGUCUUUGAUUAGGUCCUUGUCUAUGUUCCUUGGAACAGGACGUCAUAGAGGGUGAGAAUCCCGUUUGGCGAGGAUACCUUUUCUCUGUAAGACUUUUUCGAAGAGUCGAGUUGUUUGGGAAUGCAGCUCAAAGUGGGUGGUAAAUUCCAUCUAAAGCUAAAUAUUGGCGAGAGACCGAUAGCGAACAAGUACAGUGAUGGAAAGAUGAAAAGAACUUUGAAAAGAGAGUGAAAAAGUACGUGAAAUUGUUGAAAGGGAAGGGCAUUUGAUCAGACAUGGGUGUUUUGCGCCCUUUGCUCCUUGUGGGCGAGGAUACGCAGCUCACUGGGCCAACAUCAGUUUUGGGAGCAGGAUAAAUCUGUAGGAACGUAGCUUUCUCGGGAAUGUUAUAGCCUAUGGGAAUACUGCUACCUGGGA